AUAGGCUUCGGCUUAGCGUCUUAGCAGGCGAUUCCUCCACGGCGCUCGAAGCGCGUCGUGGNAUUUCGCGUNUUGUAAUUUCAACACGAGCGGGGUCAAAUCCUUUGCAGACGACUUANCUGUGCGAAACGGACCUGUAAGCAGNAGAGNAGCCUUGUUGUUACGAUCUGCUGAGGGUAAGCCGUCCUUCGCCUCGAUUUCCCCAACGA
RNAcentral lists this ribosomal RNA (209 nucleotides) under Fusarium sporotrichioides. RNAcentral's name for it is "partial 28S ribosomal RNA". It matches the Rfam family "Eukaryotic large subunit ribosomal RNA", at positions 3201 to 3401 of the family's 3401-position model. The record is from RNAcentral. Lineage: Eukaryota; Fungi; Ascomycota; Sordariomycetes; Hypocreales; Nectriaceae.